Long non-coding RNA from Oncorhynchus keta (chum salmon), 775 nucleotides. RefSeq lists it as uncharacterized. Lineage: Eukaryota; Metazoa; Chordata; Actinopteri; Salmoniformes; Salmonidae. The record is from RefSeq and is a predicted model, not a curated record. The transcript is spliced from 5 exons.
CCAGAGUUUGAUGACAGCGCAUUUUUGUCCUAUUAAACCGGUCCCUUGGUGAGAAACCCUAUGGCACCAUGGCUCUUAGAUCAGACACGUCUGCUUAUACACACUGGUCUCCUCGGGUCUCCAUGUGGUUGCAGGCCUCUCAUUUGUGUGAACCCCAAACGAUGCAUUUUUACUAAGCUGCUAAGUAUUCAGACCUCUUGACAUUUUUCCACAUUUUGUUACGUUACAGCCUUAUUCUAAAAUGGAUUUAAAUGACAAAAUGUCCUCAUCAAUCUACACACAAUUACAAUUAAUGACAAAGCAAAAACGUUUUUUUUGUUUUUUUUUGCAAAUGUAUUAAAAAAAUAAAAAACAGAAAUACCUUAUUUAAACAUAAGUAUUCAGACACAGAUGAGAAAGAUGAACGGAGCAAAGUACAGAUAUAUCCUUGAUGAAACAGAGAUAUCCUUGAUGAAACAGAGAGGUCCUUGAUGAAACAGAGAGGUCCUUGAUGAAACAGAGGUCCUUGAUGAAACAGAGAUAUCCUUGAUGAAACAGAGAGGUCCUUGAUGAAACAGAGGUCCUUGAUGAAACAGAGGUCCUUGAUGAAACAGAGAUGUCCUUGAUGAAACAGAGAGGUCCUUGAUGAAACAGAGAUAUCCUUGAUGAAACAGAGAGGUCCUUGAUGAAACAGAGAUAUCCUUGAUGAAACAGAGAGGUCCUUGAUGAAACAGAGAUAUCCUUGAUGAAACAGAGAGGUCCUUGAUGAAACAGAGAUAUCCUUGAUGAAACAGAG